UAUGGUCGUAACAUUAUCGUUAAAGCUUUUUAGACUAUUCAGUAUGAUGUUGAUGUGUACAGGUAAAUAAAGCUUUUUAGACAAUUCAGUAUGAUGUUGAUGUGUACAGGUAAAUAAAGCUUUUUAGACAAUUCAGUAUGAUGUUGAUGUGUACAGGUAAAAAAAACUUUUUAGACAAUUCGGUAUGAUGUUGAUGUGUACAGGUAAAUAAAGCUUUUUAGACAAUUCGGUAUGAUGUUGAUGUGUACAGGUAAAUAAAGCUUUUUAGACAAUUCGGUAUGAUGUUGAUGUGUACAGGUAUAUAAAGCUUUUUAGACAAUUCAGUAUGAUGUUGAUGUG
Mytilus californianus (California mussel) is the source of this 339-nucleotide long non-coding RNA. RefSeq lists it as uncharacterized. The record is from RefSeq and is a predicted model, not a curated record. NCBI's taxonomy places the organism in Eukaryota, Metazoa, Mollusca, Bivalvia, Mytilida, Mytilidae. The transcript is spliced from 3 exons.